ACUAUUUUUACAAUGGUCCAUCUGCUGGUACGGUAAUAUGCAUGCAAGCCACAUGCGCCAUCGGCACCGAAAUUCUCCGGCGAUUUCUUGCAAGUAAUUCGCUGGCGAUUCCCUCGUUGAUUGCGAUUAAAAAAUAAUAGACUUUGGUGUGGCCAUCAGCGUGAGAAUCAAGAGGGACGGGGGAGGGACGUGUUCACCAAUCUGUCCCGGUGUGACGCGAAAUUCCUGACUUGCGCAGACGAUGCGACCAUGCGCAGACGAUGCGCAUGAAUGACUUUGGCUUAUAAAUUUCGCAUUUCAACAGACAACACGUGUAUUUUUAAAAAG
This is a non-coding RNA of Paramuricea clavata, 327 nucleotides long. Lineage: Eukaryota; Metazoa; Cnidaria; Anthozoa; Malacalcyonacea; Plexauridae. The record is from the annotation of a GenBank genome assembly.